CUGCUGCCUUCCGUAGGAGUUUGGGCCGUGUCUCAGUCCCAAUGUGGCCGUCCACCCUCUCAGGCCGGCUACUGAUCGUCGGCUUGGUGGGCCGUUACCCCGCCAACUACCUAAUCAGACGCGGGCCCAUCUUACACCACCGGAGUUUUCCGCACCAGGCCAUGCGGCCCUGUGCGCAUAUGCGGUAUUAGCAGCCGUUUCCAGCUGUUGUCCCCCUGUGUAAGGCAGGUUGCCCACGCGUUACUCACCCGUCCGCCACU
RNAcentral lists this ribosomal RNA (260 nucleotides) under uncultured bacterium. RNAcentral describes it as "partial 16S ribosomal RNA". The record is from RNAcentral.